AGCGUAGGCCGUCAGGCAAGCGUGUUGUGAAAUGUCGUGGCUCAACCAUGGACUUGCAGCGCGAACUGCCCGACCUGAGUGCGCAGAAAGCAGGCGGAAUUUGUGGUGUAGCGGUGAAAUGCUUAGAUAUCACGAAGAACCCCGAUUGCGAAGGCAGCCUGCUGUAGCGCUACUGACGCUGAAGCUCGAAAGUGCGGGUAUCGAACA
This 207-nucleotide ribosomal RNA is filed under the name uncultured bacterium. Its description in RNAcentral is "partial 16S ribosomal RNA". It matches the Rfam family "Bacterial small subunit ribosomal RNA", at positions 568 to 774 of the family's 1533-position model. The record is from RNAcentral.